AGUGAACGCUGGCGGUAGACCUAACACAUGCAAGUCGAACGGCAGCACAGUAAGAGCUUGCUCUUACGGGUGGCGAGUGGCGGACGGGUGAGGAAUACAUCGGAAUCUACUUUUUCGUGGGGGAUAACGUAGGGAAACUUACGCUAAUACCGCAUACGACCUACGGGUGAAAGCAGGGGAUCUUCGGACCUUGCGCGAUUGAAUGAGCCGAUGUCGGAUUAGCUAGUUGGCGGGGUAAAGGCCCACCAAGGCGACGCUCCGUAGCUGGUGUGAGAGGAUGAUCAGACCCACUGGAAAAGAGACACGGUCCAGACUCCCACGGGAGGGAGCAGUAGGGAAUAUUUGGGAAAGGGCGAAAGCCUGACGCAGACACGCCGCGUGAGGGAAGAAGGGCUUCGGAUUGUAAAACUCUUUUUUUUGGGAAAAAAAAAUGUGAAGGUAAAUACCCCCGUUUUGACGGGGCCCAAAAAGAAAGACACGGCUAAAUCCGUG
RNAcentral lists this ribosomal RNA (492 nucleotides) under uncultured bacterium. Its description in RNAcentral is "partial 16S ribosomal RNA". It matches the Rfam family "Bacterial small subunit ribosomal RNA", at positions 29 to 507 of the family's 1533-position model. The record is from RNAcentral.